RNAcentral lists this non-coding RNA (46 nucleotides) under Schistosoma curassoni. The record is from RNAcentral. Lineage: Eukaryota; Metazoa; Platyhelminthes; Trematoda; Strigeidida; Schistosomatidae.
AUCUAGCUGACGAGUCCCAACUAGGACGAAAACGUGUGUCCUGAAU